RNAcentral lists this ribosomal RNA (500 nucleotides) under uncultured bacterium. RNAcentral's name for it is "partial 16S ribosomal RNA". It matches the Rfam family "Bacterial small subunit ribosomal RNA", at positions 30 to 523 of the family's 1533-position model. The record is from RNAcentral.
AUUGAACGCUGGCGGCAUGCCUUACACAUGCAAGUCGAACGGUAACAGGGAGCUUGCUCCGCUGACGAGUGGCGAACGGGUGAGUAAUGUAUCGGAACGUACCUUUUAGUGGGGGAUAACGUAGCGAAAGUUACGCUAAUACCGCAUAUUCUCUGAGGAGGAAAGCAGGGGACCUUCGGGCCUUGCGCUAAUAGAGCGGCUGAUAUCAGAUUAGCUAGUUGGUGAGGUAAAGGCUCACCAAGGCGACGAUCUGUAGCGGGUCUGAGAGGAUGAUCCGCCACACUGGAACUGAAAAACGGUCCAGACUCCUACGGGAGGCAGCAGUGGGGAAUUUUGGACAAUGGGGGCAACCCUGAUCCAGCCAUGCCGCGUGAGUGAAGAAGGCCUUCGGGUUGUAAAGCUCUUUCGGCCGGGAAAAAAUCGCAUGGGCUAAUACCCUGUGUGGAUGAUGGUACCGGAAUAAGAAGCACCGGCUAACUACGUGCCAGCCGCCGCGGUAA